This is an RNA transcript of Carcharodon carcharias (great white shark), 11032 nucleotides long. It is a transcript of the gene named ATP-binding cassette, sub-family A (ABC1), member 2, with no coding region annotated. The transcript has 50 exons. NCBI's taxonomy places the organism in Eukaryota, Metazoa, Chordata, Chondrichthyes, Lamniformes, Lamnidae. The record is from RefSeq and is a predicted model, not a curated record.
AGGCAGUACCCUACAGUCAGCUGAGCACAGGAACCCGCAUCACAGGACGUCCCAAAUUUAGAUAUAAAAACAGUCUGAAAGCCAACCUUGGCGCUUGCAAGUUGGAUCACAAUACAUGGGGAAAAAAACAACCUUGGACAGACCCAAAUGGAGAAACUCUGUCAUCGAGCAAUUUCGACAUUUGAAGAGAACAGAGUCAAGUGCCUUCAGGACAAGCGAGCAUGGCACAAAGCUAAUGCCUCCAUCCAUCCCUCCAACACUGACUUAAUGUGCAAUGUUUGCAAUUGGUUAUGCAAUUGAGACUUGACCUAACAUCACACAUGAGAUGACAUCAACCUAGACUGUAAACUGGUCUUUUUCUUUGCUGACCACUCAUCUGUUGAAGCAGUAGGAGAGUCCAAGAUUGAUUAUAGUUCCACAAACCAUACAGAAUAUGCCAGUUAACAGGAUGUGGGCUUCUUACCAGGAAAAGUAAUAUGAACUUGAUGUUGAUGAUUAAAGAUUUAUGAUAGAGUAGGACAGAGGAUAAAUCAGGAGAUAAUGAGGGCAUGUGAAAAAGGCAGUACAUUAAUCAUGGGUGACUUUAAUCUUCAUAUAGAUUGGGAAAACAAAUUGACAGAGAUAGACACGCGCAAGAAUUCAUAGAGUGUAUUUGGGACAGUUUCUUAGGACAAUAUGUUGUGAAUCCAACCAGGGAUCAGGCUGUUUUAUAUCUGGUAAUGCGUAAUGAGGCAGUUUUAAUAAAUGAUCUCAGAGUAAAGGAUUCCCGAGGAGACAGUGACCAUAAUAUGGCAGAAUUUUAACAUUCAGUUUGAGAGUGAGAAACUUGGGUCAGAAACAACUGUGCUAAACUUAGAUAAGGGUAAUUGCAAUGGAAUGAGGGCGGAGUUGGCUGGAGUGGACUGGGAAAGGAGUUUAGCAGAAAAGAUGGUUGAUGAACAAUUGCAGAUAUUUAAGAAAAUAGUUCAUGACUGUCAACAAAGAUAUAUCCCAGUGAGGAAGAAGGAUUCAAGAAAGGGGAUAAAGCAACCAUGGAUAACCAGGGAACUUAAAGACAGUAUCAAAUUGGAAGAAAAAACGUACAAUGUGGCAAAGAUUAGUCAGUGGGUAUUGGCGUUUGAGAUCUUUAUACCACUGGUUCUCUUUUUCAUUUUGCUGGGACUUCGUCAGAAGAAGCCAACCAUUCCCGUCAAGGAAGUCUCAUUCUACACAGCCGCACCGCUGACGUCUGCUGGGAUACUCCCUGUGAUGCAGUCUCUGUGUCCUGAUGGCCAGAGGGAUGAAUUUGGAUUCCUGCAGUAUUCCAACUCAACGGUCACACAGCUUCUCGAGCGAAUCAAUGAGGUUGUGGAAGAGAGCAAUCUGUUCGAUCCUGAUCGGCGAGGCCUUGAAGAAGAGCUGGAAUCACUACGGCGUCAUCUGGAAUCAAUGAACAACGACCCAAGCUCAGUGGAAAACCACUUCAACAGCAGUAAAGGGUUCACCCUUGGGUCAGUUGUAAAGGAUCGGGAUGAACUUCAGAACUUCUUGACUCACAACUUGUCCAUGUCCAAUGAAACAGCUGGACUUCUACUGGGAUCAAGUGUCAAUUUGAAGGAGGUAUUCCGCCUUUGCUUUGGAUCAUAUCCUUCUGCAGUGGACAGUGGACUGGACAGUGAAAGUUGGGAUGCAUUCAAUGCUGGAGAGAAACUGCUGCGGCUCGAGGAGCAUCUACUGGGAGGCUGGAGGAAGCUGGAAGGAGGACUGAUUCAUAAGGCACUGAGUGACCCAGAAAAAGUGACGCACAGACAGAUGCUUGUCCAGUUGUUGGCUCAGGCUCUUGGUCUGGCAGGAUCCAGUAAUGCCACAGACAACUAUGAUCCAGAGGCGCUUGUUGGAGAGAUGGAGAAUAUUUUGUUCAUGCCCAAAGUAUUGGAAUACCUGACAUGUAAUGAUGAACAGGAUGACUUGCAGAAGAUCCUAGUGAUCCCUGCCUCCCAGAAGGCUUGGCUAAAUGGUUACCGGGCAGCUAUUUGUAACACCACCACCAAAGUGCGGAAGGAGCAUUUUCAGGAACUCGCCAAUAAACUUAAAAGCCAAGUGGACAUCCAAAAAAUUGCGGACAAGCUCAAGUUGAAUGAGGUGAACAGCACAGCCAUUCAGCAUCACCUUCGGGCCUUACUUGAAGACCUCAUUGAGGUGGAAAAAAUUCUGAAAGAUGUAGAUGCCUUAUCAGGACUUGCCAGGCUGCUCCCAAAGGGGGCCUGUGCUGGCAAAAGCCCACAAACUGCUGCCAAUAAUACCAGCUGGAAUGGUAACUUUACAGCCGCCAAUGCCACUUCUGAGGAGGGAGAGGAGCCUGAGACGGAAAACCCUCACACUCAGUUUUCAGCCUUUGUCCAGCUCUGGGCUGGUCUUCAACCAAUCCUCUGUGGGAAUAACAGAACGAUAGAACCGGAGGCCUUGAAACAGGGAAACAUGAGCUCACUUGGCUUCACCAGCAAGGAGCAACGCAACCUCGGACUACUGGUGCACCUCAUGACCACUAAUCCCAAAAUUCUUUAUUCACCAGUUGGCACGGAAGUGGACAAAGUCAUAGAAAAGGCCAAUGAAACGUUUGCCUUUGUUGGGAAUGUUACACACUAUGCCACAGUCUGGCUGAAUAUUUCCUCGGAAAUCCGGACAUUCCUGGAAGAUGGCAAACUACAGGAUCGCAUCAGUUGGCUGCAGCAGUUUACCUCCGAUCUGAAAAAACACCCGGAAGUCUUGAACGCCUCCGAUAGCGACAUCAUCAGGAAUUUUAUCAACAGCAACUUCUCCAUGCCAAACUCCAGCACGUUGCUCCAACAGCUGGACACCAUUGACAAUGCAGCCUGCGGCUGGAUCCAGUUCAUGUCCAAGGUGAGUGUGGACAUCUUUAAAGGUUUCCCCAAUGAGGAGAGCAUAGUGAACUACACCUUAAGCCAGGCAUAUCAGGAUAAUGUCACAGUGUUUGCCAGUGUGAUAUUUCAGACGAAGGAGGAUGGCACACUGCCCCCUCACGUUAUGCUGAAGAUCCGCCAAAACUCCAGCUUUACAGAGAAAACCAAUGAGAUUCGCAGGGCCUAUUGGAGGCCAGGGCCGAACACUGGAGGGAGAUUCUAUUUCCUGUACGGAUUUGUCUGGAUACAAGAUAUGAUGGAACGGGCCAUUAUCAACACAUUUGUGGGUCAUGAUGUGGUGGAGCCUGGAAACUAUGUCCAGAUGUUUCCCUACCCUUGCUACACCAGGGAUGACUUCCUGUUUGUGAUUGAACACAUGAUGCCCCUCUGCAUGGUUAUUUCGUGGGUGUAUUCUGUGGCCAUGAUGAUUCAGCACAUCGUCGCAGAGAAGGAACACAGACUAAAAGAGGUCAUGAAGAUGAUGGGGUUGAACAAUGCCGUCCACUGGGUGGCCUGGUUCAUCACAGGCUUUGUACAGCUUUCCAUCUCUGUGACUGCACUGACAGGCAUCCUGAAAUAUGGCAAAGUCCUGAUGCACAGCGAUCCUUUUAUAAUCUGGCUGUUCCUCACAAUCUAUGGCAUAGCUACCAUCAUGUUCUGUUUCCUGAUCUCUGUGGUCUACUCCAAGGCAAAGCUAGCCUCGGCGUGCGGUGGGAUCAUUUAUUUCCUCAGCUAUGUUCCGUACAUGUACGUGGCUAUCCGUGAGGAGGUGGCUCAUGAUAGGAUCACCGCAUUCGAGAAAUGCAUUGCGUCCCUCAUGUCCACAACUGCAUUUGGGCUUGGUUCUAAGUACUUUGCACUCUAUGAGGUGGCAGGUGUUGGAAUUCAGUGGCACACCUUGAAUCAGUCACCAGUAGAAGGAGAUGACUUCAACCUACUCCUCUCCAUGGUUAUGCUGAUCGUCGAUGCCACUGUCUAUGGAGUACUAACAUGGUACAUCGAGGCUGUUCAUCCAGGAAUGUACGGACUGCCCAGACCAUGGUACUUUCCAUUUCAGAAAUCCUAUUGGUUGGGCAACGGACGAAUUGAAACAUGGGAAUGGUCCUGGCCCUGGUCUAGAAGCAGUCGGCUCAGCAUCAUGGAGGAUGAUCAGGCCUGUGCAAUGGAGAGCAGGAGGCUGGAAGAAACUCGUGGAAUAGAGGAAGACCCAAGCCAUUUGCCCCUAGUAGUGUGCAUUGACAAGCUGACCAAAGUCUACAAGACUGGGAAGAAGCUGGCUUUGAAUAAGCUGAGCCUCAACUUGCAUGAGAACCAGGUGGUGUCAUUCCUCGGACACAACGGUGCCGGCAAAACCACCACAAUGUCCAUUCUGACAGGAUUGUUCCCACCCACUGCUGGUUCAGCCACGAUUUAUGGGCAUGAUAUUCGAACAGAAAUGGAUGAAAUCCGGAAGAACCUAGGCAUGUGCCCUCAGCACAAUGUACUGUUUGACAAAUUGACAGUGGAGGAACACCUCUGGUUUUACUCACGUUUGAAGGGAAUGGCUGAGGAUGAGAUUCGCAAAGAAAUGGACAAGAUGAUUGAAGACUUGGAACUCUCGAAUAAGCGGCACUCUCUGGUGCAGACGUUGUCUGGAGGAAUGAAACGCAAGUUAUCCGUUGCCAUCGCGUUUGUUGGGGGAUCCAAAGCAGUUAUCUUAGAUGAACCCACAGCAGGGGUUGAUCCAUAUGCUCGUCGAGCUAUCUGGGACCUAAUCCUAAAGUACAAACAAGGCCGGACUAUCCUCCUGUCUACACAUUACAUGGAUGAAGCUGAUCUUCUCGGAGACCGCAUUGCAAUAAUCUCACAUGGAAAAUUGAAGUGCUGUGGGUCGCCUCUGUUCCUCAAAAGCACCUAUGGGGACGGCUACAAGCUGACAGUGGUGAAGCAGCAGCCUGACUCUCAGACUAGCCCAGAUUCAGACCAAGACCUCAGUCCUUCAUCACGCUCCUCCUGCUUGGAGACCAAAGUCAGCCAGUUUAUUAAAAAGUAUGUUGUGUCCACUAUACUGAUCUCAGACACCAACACUGAGAUAUCUUACAUUCUGCCAUCGGAAGCCGUAAAGAAAGGAUGCUUUGAGAGACUUUUCCAGGCCUUGGAUCUGAACCUGGAGGACCUGAAUUUGACUAGUUUUGGUUUAAUGGACACCACACUGGAGGAGGUUUUUCUGAAAGUUUCUGAAGAAGAUCAGUCAUUGGAGAACAGUGACAUAGAUGACAAAGAUUCAGGGAAGGAAGCCUUGCAGACACCACAAAUGAACAAUAAAAAUGGUCGCCACAAAGACACCCCUCCAAAAGAAGGUACAAACACUCUGAAAGUGAACGUGAGCAAUUUGGUCACCUGCGCGAGGCUAAGCCAAUCCCAGUCCUCUGUGCAUUCCUCCUCUUCUGUUGGUUCUGUUCGAGGUGAUGAGAUGGGCGGUUAUUCCGAAUUCUAUGGAGACUAUGCACCGCUCUUUGACAACCUGAACGACCCAGACAACCUCAGUUUACAAGCAGAACCAGAACCUGACCUGAAGAGCUUUGUCCUGGAGGGUCAAGGAAGUACCAAACUGGAGGGUUCCUGGCUGAAACUGUGCCAGUUCUAUGGGCUGAUAGUGAAGCGUUAUCACUGUGCCAAACGCAACACUAAGAGUCUUUUCUCCCAGAUCCUGCUCCCAGCGUUCUUUGUGUGUGUGGCAAUGACGGUGGCUCUCUCAGUCCCUGAAAUAGGUGACUUGCCUCCUCUGAUUCUUUCUCCAUCUCAGUACCACAAUUAUACCCAACCUCGAGGAAACUUUAUACCAUAUGCAAAUGAAGAGAGAAAUGAGUACAGGAUAAAGUUAUCACCUGAUGCCAGCCCUCAGCAACUGACAAAUACCUUCUAUCUACCCUCGGGGAUUGGAGCUACCUGUGUCCUGAAAACUCCGUACAACAGCACAUUAGACCAGCUUGUGCAGACCCUCAAUCUUUCGACCAGCGAGACCAAGAUGCUGGCCUCCAAAUACUUUGACUCAAUGUGCCUGGACUCAUUCACUCAAGGCCUCCCACUCUCGAAUUUUGUCCCACUGCCCCCGUCACCUGCUCCAUCAGAUUUUCCUGACAUGGGAAUAGAUGAAGGAAUGCACACAUGGAAUUUGACAACAUCACCGGUUACAAUGAAAGAAACAUUUACAUCAUCUCCUUCAGUUCCACGUCCCAUACACGAACCAGUUCGAUGCAGCUGCUCAAUGCAAGGAACAGGGUUCUCCUGCCCAAGUGGGGUUGGAGGUCACCCACCACAGAAGAAAGUAGUGACGGGUGAUAUUUUGGUGGAUAUUACAGGCCGCAAUGUUUCCGAGUACAUUCUGCACACUUCCGACCGCUUCCGACUUCACAGGUAUGGAGGGCUGACAUUUGGCAAUGUGCUCAAAUCUAUCCCAGCGUCCUUCAGUACAAAGGCUGCUCCAAUGGUGCGGAAGAUUGCAGUGAGGAGAACUGCACAGGCAUUUUACAACAACAAGGGUUAUCACAGCAUGCCAACCUAUCUGAACACCCUGAACAAUGCCAUUCUCCGAGCCAACCUGCCCAAGAGCAAGGGCAACCCUGCAGGAUAUGGAAUCACAGUGACAAACCAUCCAAUGAACAAGACCAGUGCCAGCUUGUCCCUCGAUUACCUUCUGCAGGGCACAGAUGUGGUCAUUGCCAUCUUCAUCAUUGUGGCCAUGUCCUUCGUCCCUGCCAGCUUUGUGGUGUUCCUGGUGGCAGAGAAGUCGACCAAAGCGAAACACCUGCAGUUUGUGAGUGGAUGUGACCCUGUGAUCUACUGGCUGGCCAACUACGUCUGGGACAUGCUGAAUUAUUUGGUACCAGCGACCUGCUGCAUCAUCAUACUCUUUGUGUUUGAUCUGCCAGCCUAUACUUCACCCACCAACUUCCCAGCAGUACUCUCACUCUUCUUGCUAUAUGGUUGGUCAAUCACUCCAAUCAUGUAUCCAGCUUCCUUCUGGUUCGAGGUUCCCAGUACAGCCUAUGUUUUCUUGAUUGUCAUCAACCUCUUCAUUGGUAUCACAGCGACGGUUGCCACAUUCCUGCUUCAACUCUUUGAGCAUGACAAGGAUCUGAAAGCUGUGAAUGGCUACCUGAAAUCCUGUUUCCUCAUUUUCCCGAAUUAUAACCUGGGCCAUGGACUGAUGGAAAUGGCCUACAACGAGUACAUCAAUGAAUACUACGCAAAAAUAGGCCAGUUUGGCAAAAUGAAAUCCCCUUUUGAAUGGGACAUCGUGACACGAGGCCUAGUUGCCAUGACAAUAGAAGGGUUUGUGGGAUUCUUCAUCACUAUCAUGUGCCAGUAUAACUUCUUCAGAAAGCCACAACGCUUACCAGUUUCUAACAAGCCAAUAGAAGAUGACGAUAUUGAUGUGGGGAAUGAGAGGCGACGUGUGUUGCGAGGAGAUGCAGACACCGAUGUUCUUAAAAUUCAGAACCUGACAAAGGUGUACAAGUCACGUAGGAUGGGCCGGAUCCUGGCAGUGGAUCGCUUGUGUGCUGGUGUGCGUCCUGGAGAAUGCUUUGGGUUACUGGGAGUGAACGGAGCUGGGAAGACAACAACAUUCAAGAUGCUGACAGGGGACGAGAGUACAACUGGUGGCGAGGCCUUUGUGAAUGGAAACAGUAUUCUCAAGGACCUGCUAAAAGUGCAGCAGAGUAUUGGGUACUGUCCACAGUUUGAUGCACUUUUCGAUGAGCUGACCGCCCGGGAACACAUGGAGCUCUACACCAGGCUACGCGGAGUCCCCUGGAAAGAUGAGGAGAGGGUUAUAAAUUGGGCACUUGAUAAACUGGAACUCACAAAAUAUGCGGACAAGCCUGCGGGAACAUACAGUGGAGGCAACAAACGGAAGCUGUCUACUGCCAUUGCUCUGAUUGGCUACCCUUCUUUAAUUUUCCUGGAUGAGCCAACAACAGGAAUGGAUCCCAAGGCACGCAGAUUUUUAUGGAACCUGAUUCUCGAUAUCAUAAAGACUGGACGCUCAGUGGUGCUGACAUCACAUAGCAUGGAGGAGUGUGAAGCACUGUGCACAAGACUCGCCAUCAUGGUAAACGGACGGUUCAAGUGUCUUGGCAGCAUCCAGCACCUGAAAAACCGGUUUGGCGAUGGCUACAUGAUCACUGUCCGCACAAAGUCCAGCCUGUACGUGAAAGAAGUUGUCCGCUUUUUCAACAGAAAUUUCCCUGAAGCAGUUCUAAAGACUUCUUUUGUUCUAGGAGAGACACCAUACCAAAGUGCAGUAUCAGCUGAAGUCAGAAAACAUCUCGCUGGCCCAGGUUUUCAGUAAGAUGGAGCAAGUAGUCGACGUAUUAGGAAUUGAAGAUUAUUCUGUCAGUCAAACCACACUGGACAAUGUGUUUGUAAACUUUGCAAAGAAGCAGAGCGACAACCUGGAGCAGCAGGAAACUGUCAGCACAGGGAGCGUGCAGUCACCGAUCAAGCGUAUCCUCAGUCUGCUGCGGCCGAGGGGCACCACGACAGAACUACAGGCCCUGACUGUUGAAGAGCCCGAAGAGUUAGAGAGUGAUGACGAAGGGCUAAUCAGCUUCGAGGAGGAGCGUGCUCAGCUUUCAUUCAACACGGACACACUGUGCUGAGUGGAUGAAAUCCCAUGAAGAUUUCAAUUGCUGACGACCGUGUACAGGACUUUUGAGAACUUUGCAUCAUCCUAGCACAAGACUAAAGGCAGUGCUGGGAAAAGGGGGUAGGGGAUAAGGUGGUGGAAAUGACCAUCUGUGUGGUCAAUAGUUCCUUCGAGUUGAAGUAAUUCUUCGGAGGAGACAUUAAACCCAUUAACCAACAGAGAACGCUGCUUCGAUGGUGCGAGCGGUUUUGGUACCCAUGCAUUGCUUCUGGGUCGUUUUGGCGAAGUAGAUCUCCAAUGAACAUUGAGUGUUGCAUUUUAUUUAAUGCAGAGCUGUUUUAUUUUGGUGCACUGUCAAAGACAUAGUGUAUAAUACCUGUCUGCUUUGUAUUGGAAUAUUUAAAAAUUAUUUUUAAAAGUGUAGAAGUGAAGAGCAAAUAAUUAGGGUCCUUAUUUUCAAUUACAAAAGCAUUGUAAACACUCAGAUAUUUAAGCCUUGUCAUUGCAACAAAUGCAUGAAAUUAUCCAAUAUAUCCAGGGUCCAUAUGGCCUAUAAGCUGUACAAUGAAAUCCAGACUACAAAUUAGGCCUAACCUUGAAAAACUUAAGUGCAACACCAUUUAGUGUACAUAACAGUAACUCAAAUGCUAAGAGCGAGCUUGAAUUACUAUUAGUGUUUGUUGGACAGUAACCUGGUACGUUAUAGGGAGGGACUGAUGGCAGUCCAGCUUUCGUUAAAUGAUUAGGAUUUAUAAUUUCAGAUUGAAAAAAAGACAUGAUCUGAGCAAUGUUCUAGAAAUUAGAAUUUGCUUAUAAUUUUUCAAAUUCUAUUUCUAGAAAAAUACAUAUGUAAGUGCAUUUUUGCCCCUUUGACUAAAACCAACAUGACUAUUUAUAAAUAAGACAUAUCAUUAGAAUUUUUUGAGCCCACCCAUGUGCUAUGGCUUAGAUUUUCGAAACAAAGCAAGGGCAAACCAAAAUCUUACUGUUACCCUGGUGCUAACAUUGUCCCUAAUUUUUCUUGCCCCGUCACCUUUCUUAGAAACCAUAAUAAGACCUCCAUGUGCUUGGCUAUUCUCUUCAUGUUAACAUAUUAUUGAAGUCAAGCGAACCCUUGACUUGAUUUAUUCCAUCUCGCAGUGAUCACUCACACCAAAUAAGCAAGGAAUAAAACGCUCAAUGUCAACAGAACAAACUAUGUGGUACAGGAUAAUGUAUGUUAUUAUUUUCCAAGGAUGACUUUUGUUGACUGACUGAUCUUUGUCCUGAAGCGGAUUUUGCAAAAUGGUUCUGGCACACUUUGGAUGAUAUAUUUACUUUAAUUUGUGUUUCUUUAUUGUUGAUCUUGUAAAUGUUUCAACAGAUACACGUUUGCCACAACCCAUGCAAGUACCAGUUAGGCUGAAGUAAAGCACAGAAGUGUAAUAGAAAACGAAUGUAGGUCCUUUUGGCUAUAAAAUAAGAUGUAAUGUUCAUCUAACCCUAUUAAAAUAUUUUAAACUUUAUUACACUCGAACUUCAGUGUAUCCCUCAGCAGCUAACAUGGAUAUAAAUUCAUAUUAAAAGGAAAUACUGCCAUAACUUCAGACAUAAGAUCAAAGAACAAGCUGAGCCAAGGCUCACAUGCAAGUGAUGGUAUGACCAGAGGAGACCUGAUCUUUCCAGUUAAAGCAAUGCUUCCCACUCCAUUCAGAACCGUGCAUGUCAAAAAAUCUGAGUGUUUACAAUGAGCUGCAGUACAAGGACUGUGACUUCUCUUGAAGGUGUUUUAUUUAAAAUAAGCAUAAGCAACACAACAAAGGAUGUAAUUGUAACCUUAAACUGCUGUUAUUAGAGGUGGACAGUCAGUACUAAUGCCCCUGAUUAUUAUAAAUAUUCUAAACAGAAAGCACCAAGAUCUAACUCACAUUUCAGAUGGAUGCUUUGUCUUUUUUUUUUAAAUCCUAAAGCAUUUCCCACAGUGAUCUUAAUAUCAAAGUGAUAUUCAUGUUGGCCACCAAUUCUAUUGAAGUGCUGAGAUAAAGUGACCUGAGGUGAAUGCCUGUUUCCACCUUCAAUGCUUGACUGUCAGUUAGCCAUAUGGGUGUGACUAUGUGGCUGACCCUCUCAUCUGAUGGUGACCUCGGAUACUGGAAGCACCCAAGUACCUGGCAGACAAUUGAAGCAGCCAAGAGACAUAAAUGAGCCUCUGAUUACUGCAUCUCAGUCAUUCCAUGGAACCGGGGAGUGCCUUUUUCUCUUUUAUUUUUAAAAGCUAGUACUUUUGGUCAGUCAGAGCUUUGGAAUUAAAUUAUGAAAUUGUGGACCGGGAGGAAAGACGGCGUUUUAAGUUAAUUUUUAUCUUUCAGUACAUCUCCAUGUCAAGCUGUGCAAUGAAAAUAAAAAAUAAUCAGCAAGGAUUUUUUUUUUUGUAUUAAUAGAACUUAACUUGCAUUGUUAAUUUUGACCUUACCUGAAAAGGAAGAGUUAAAAAGGUUCAAUGAAAGUAACUUGAAAUUUA